Molecule: RNase P RNA, 343 nt
Filed under: Gammaproteobacteria bacterium
Lineage: Bacteria; Pseudomonadati; Pseudomonadota; Gammaproteobacteria
Description: RNase P RNA component class A
Rfam family: Bacterial RNase P class A
About the family: Ribonuclease P (RNase P) is a ubiquitous endoribonuclease, found in archaea, bacteria and eukarya as well as chloroplasts and mitochondria. Its best characterised activity is the generation of mature 5'-ends of tRNAs by cleaving the 5'-leader elements of precursor-tRNAs.
Source: RNAcentral
AAAGCCUGCCGGGCAGUCGCUGCUGUCGCAAGACAGGGGAGGAAAGUCCGGGCUCCGCAGGGCAGGGUGCCAGGUAACACCUGGGCGGCGCAAGCCGACGGAAAGUGCAACAGAAAGGAAACCGCCUGCAAUGCAGGUAAGGGUGAAAAGGUGCGGUAAGAGCGCACCGCGCGGCUGGUAACAGUCCGUGGCGAUGGUAAACCCCACCCGGAGCAAGACCAAAUAGGAAUCCUUUGGUGUGGCCCGCACUGGAUUCGGGUAGGUUGCUUGAGGCGUCCGGCGACGGGCGUCCCAGAUAAAUGACUGCAGGAAACAGAACCCGGCUUACGGGCAGGCUUUCACC